Long non-coding RNA from Humulus lupulus (European hop), 1128 nucleotides. RefSeq lists it as uncharacterized. The record is from RefSeq and is a predicted model, not a curated record. The transcript has 3 exons. Lineage: Eukaryota; Viridiplantae; Streptophyta; Magnoliopsida; Rosales; Cannabaceae.
UUAGAGCUAUUAAGUAAAGUGGAAGAAUAACUAAUGAAUAUGCAACUAUAACAUUCAUGGGCAUUUCAUUAGUAUAAUACCCAUAGAAUGAUGCUAAAUACAAGCAAACAAUCACUAAAGUUAUGAAAAAUAAAGAGAAAUUCAUGUUUUGAUGAUGAAUUUUAUCUAGAAGGUUAAGAGAUGAAGAAGUUGUGCAAAUAAAUGGUUGAAGGAACAAGUAUUUAUAGGACAAAAACUAGCCGUUUAUGACCGUUGGUGAAUAGUGAUCAUGACCGUUGGGGGUAUAGUUGUUUUCUAUUAUGGGAUUUUAACAAUUCUAAGUUGUUGUAGUAACCAACAGGUGGGAAUAAUUAAUUUAUGGGUGUUAGAGAAACAUUUUCAGAAAAGUUUAUGAGUCAAAAAUGUUAAACUAAGUAAUAUAAGAAGAUUGGGAAAUUUUCUUUUUUUUUACUAUUCACCGGGUACUAUUCAUAGUGGGUCCCACAGUGGGGUCCGCAAGGGUCCCACAGCGGGGUCCACCCCAUGGGUCCCACAUGUUGAUGCAGUAGUGAUAUAGUGAUGACUUAAGCAAAUUACUAUGCUUGAUAUUUUGAAUAUUUUAUUAUUUUACUAUGCUUGAUAUUUUUAAUAUUUUAUUAUUUUACUAUGCAGCAUAGUAACCCAAUGUUUUCCUAUAAAUAGAGCCUUUCAGAAUUCAUUUUGAAUUACGAAAAAUCUUUCUUUCUCUCACUCUGCCUAAAAUCUUCUUAACACUCUUUUAAAGUUUUAAAUCUCUAAAAUCUAGGCGAAGUUCUGUUUGUAACGCUAGCCUACGAAGACCUUUUUGGGAAGCUAACAAUUUCGGUUGUUUUAUCAAGACGCAAGGUAAGAGGCCCCAAAUAUAAAUCGUUGAUGAGUAUACGUGGAGCCAACAUGACUGUACAUAUGGGGCUGACCUGAAGGGAGUGGAGUUCUGCUAUGCUAUUUUAUAAAUAAACAAGAAACUUGGUUUUAUUAUAUUUCAUUAAAAGUAUUUUGUGAACUUUAUCAUUUACUUAAAGCUUUAAAAGUAUUUCAUGAACUUUGUAAUUUACAUAAAGCUUUUCAAUUUAUCAGUUGGAUACAUUUUCAUUUCUACGUUAAGGUGUA